GAUAAACGCUGGCGGCGUGCCUAAUACAUGCAAGUCGAGCGAACGGACGAGAAGCUUGCUUCUCUGAUGUUAGCGGCGGACGGGUGAGUAACACGUGGAUAACCUACCUAUAAGACUGGGAUAACUUCGGGAAACCGGAGCUAAUACCGGAUGAUAUUUUGAACCGCAUGGUUCAAAAGUGAAAGACGGUCUUGCUGUCACUUAUAGAUGGAUCCGCGCUGCAUUAGCUAGUUGGUAAGGUAACGGCUUACCAAGGCAACGAUGCAUAGCCGACCUGAGAGGGUGAUCGGCCACACUGGAACUGAGACACGGUCCAGACUCCUACGGGAGGCAGCAGUAGGGAAUCUUCCGCAAUGGGCGAAAGCCUGACGGAGCAACGCCGCGUGAGUGAUGAAGGUCUUCGGAUCGUAAAACUCUGUUAUUAGGGAAGAACAUAUGUGUAAGUAACUGUGCACAUCUUGACGGUACCUAAUCAGAAAGCCACGGCUAACUACGUG
This 497-nucleotide ribosomal RNA is filed under the name uncultured bacterium. RNAcentral describes it as "partial 16S ribosomal RNA". It matches the Rfam family "Bacterial small subunit ribosomal RNA", at positions 28 to 507 of the family's 1533-position model. The record is from RNAcentral.